Molecule: long non-coding RNA, 783 nt
Organism: Culex pipiens pallens (northern house mosquito)
Lineage: Eukaryota; Metazoa; Arthropoda; Insecta; Diptera; Culicidae
Exons: 2
Source: RefSeq, a predicted model, not a curated record
ACCCAAGUAACCAUCCAGCACUUAAAAAAGUCACAAAAUAGCAAUAAAUCGGCAUUCUAUUGCUGAUUAGUCUUCCAACAGCAUUUGUAAAUGCAAAUCAGCACUAAAUCAUCAGCACUGUGAAAAGCUAAGAUAAUGCUGAUUAAGUGCCGCUACUAGCAACCCUUCUAAAAAUUUCCAUCAAACUGGCAACACGAUUCUGACUUUGAGUGAAGUGUGAAAGAGAGAGUACCAGGGUAAACAAACUUCUUGCUCACUCUUGCUUGCAGUUACACAGGCAAGUUUUUUUGUGUGCAGAAAUUGUUUGUAAUAUAUAUUUAAGUGUUGUAUCAUUUUGUACAAAAUAAUCGAUCGUCUCAAUGACGGAAAACUUCAAGUAGCCGUUCCCGCGAGUCCCGCGACCUUCCGGCCCGCUCUGGAUUCGUUUCCCGCGAGUCCCGCGACCUUCCGGCCCGCUCUGGUGUCGUUUCAGCGGUUUAAGGCCCACAAAAAGUCCGGAAUUUGCGAGGAAGCAGUAGCAUUGAGUUUCAGGACAGAACUUGGGACAGAAUCAGAUGCACCUUCGAAGGCUAUGACCCGCAUGACGUCAUCGACAACAACGGAGAAAAUGAGCUAGGUGCUACCCUGAACCGGGAGGGAGAUGUUUUGGUUUUCGUGCGACGUGCUUGGCAAAUAAAAGUAAAAAUUAAGUAAAUUUAUUUUCAUUUAAAAUAGAGGCAUCAUUUUAAUAAACAACUAUGUGAUUUUAAGAAAUUUCAAUAAAAAUAAGUAUAUAUCCAUUCA